GACGAACGCUGGCGGCGUGCUUCAUACAUGCAAGUCGAACGAGAAGCUGACUUCGGUCAGUGGAAAGUGGCGGACGGGUGAGUAAUAUGUAGGAAAUCUGCCUUUAGGAGGGGGACAACAGAGGGAAACUUCUGCUAAUACCCCAUAUGAGCGUAGCUGAAAUGCUAUUCUUGAAAACUCCGGUGCCUAAAGAUGAGCCUGCAUCUGAUUAGCUAGUUGGUAGUGUAAUGGACUACCAAGGCGACGAUCAGUAGCUGGUUUGAGAGGAUGAUCAGCCACAAAGGGAAUGAGACACGGCCCAUAAUCCUACGGGAGGCAGGAGUAGGGAAAUUUGCGCCAAGGGCGAAAGCCUGACGCAGCAACGCCGCGUGAACGAUUAAGCCCUUCGGGGUGUAAAGUUCUGUCAGUGGGGACGAAACUUGACGGUACCCACAGAGGAAGCACCGGCUAACUCCGUG
This 458-nucleotide ribosomal RNA is filed under the name uncultured bacterium. RNAcentral describes it as "partial 16S ribosomal RNA". It matches the Rfam family "Bacterial small subunit ribosomal RNA", at positions 28 to 507 of the family's 1533-position model. The record is from RNAcentral.